This 417-nucleotide RNase P RNA is filed under the name Phenylobacterium sp. RNAcentral describes it as "RNase P RNA component class A". It matches the Rfam family "Bacterial RNase P class A". From Rfam's summary of the family: Ribonuclease P (RNase P) is a ubiquitous endoribonuclease, found in archaea, bacteria and eukarya as well as chloroplasts and mitochondria. Its best characterised activity is the generation of mature 5'-ends of tRNAs by cleaving the 5'-leader elements of precursor-tRNAs. Lineage: Bacteria; Pseudomonadati; Pseudomonadota; Alphaproteobacteria; Caulobacterales; Caulobacteraceae. The record is from RNAcentral.
UCAGACGGCCGGGCGGUCGCGGCCCUUCGGGGUCGAGGAAAGUCCGGGCUCCACGACGACAUGGCGGUGGGUAACGCCCACCGGGGGUGACCCCAGGGAUAGCGCCACAGAGAGCAGACCGCCCUUUUCCGCAAAGGCUUCGCAGGGCUCGCCCUCCGAAGCAGAGCGAAGGAGGGUAAGGGUGAAAGGGUGGGGUAAGAGCCCACCGGGCCGCUGGCGACAGGGGCCGCAUGGCAAGCCCCGCCAGGAGCAAGACCGAAUAGGGAUCCCGCGCGCUCGCAAGAGGGCAGGGCCGUCGCCGGCCCAGGGGUCCGGGUAGGUCGCGAGAACCGGCCGGCAACGGCCGGUCCAGAGGAAUGACCGCCGCGUCUCCGCAAGGAGGCGGCACAGAACCCGGCUUACAGGCCGUCUGAUCUC